AGUGAACGCUGGCGGUAGGCCUAACACAUGCAAGUCGAACGGCAGCACAGUAAGAGCUUGCUCUUACGGGUGGCGAGUGGCGGACGGGUGAGGAAUACAUCGGAAUCUACUUUUUCGUGGGGGAUAACGUAGGGAAACUUACGCUAAUACCGCAUACGACCUACGGGUGAAAGCAGGGGAUCUUCGGACCUUGCGCGAUUGAAUGAGCCGAUGUCGGAUUAGCUAGUUGGCGGGGUAAAGGCCCACCAAGGCGACGAUCCGUAGCUGGUCUGAGAGGAUGAUCAGCCACACUGGAACUGAGACACGGUCCAGACUCCUACGGGAGGCAGCAGUGGGGAAUAUUGGACAAUGGGCGCAAGCCUGAUCCAGCCAUACCGCGUGGGUGAAGAAGGACUUCGGGUUGUAAAGCCCUUUUGUUGGGAAAGAAAAGCAGCAGGUUAAUACCCCGCUGUUCUGACGGUACCCAAAGAAUAAGUACCGGCUAACUUCGUG
Molecule: ribosomal RNA, 492 nt
Filed under: uncultured bacterium
Lineage: Bacteria
Description: partial 16S ribosomal RNA
Rfam family: Bacterial small subunit ribosomal RNA
Source: RNAcentral